UGGAAGAUAUAUAGUGGGUUUUUGCCUUC
RNAcentral lists this non-coding RNA (29 nucleotides) under Mus musculus (house mouse). The record is from RNAcentral. Lineage: Eukaryota; Metazoa; Chordata; Mammalia; Rodentia; Muridae.